GGGGACGUAGCUCAGCUGGGAGAGCGUUCGGUUCGCAUCCGAGAGGUCGAGAGUUCAAUCCUCUUCGUCUCCACCA
RNAcentral lists this transfer RNA (76 nucleotides) under Schwartzia succinivorans. Its description in RNAcentral is "tRNA-Ala". It matches the Rfam family "tRNA". From Rfam's summary of the family: Transfer RNA (tRNA) molecules are approximately 80 nucleotides in length. Their secondary structure includes four short double-helical elements and three loops (D, anti-codon, and T loops). Lineage: Bacteria; Bacillati; Bacillota; Negativicutes; Selenomonadales; Selenomonadaceae. RNAcentral also lists the same sequence under 9 other names. The record is from RNAcentral.